ACCAAGGACCAAUCUUGCAUUGUGCCUCUACACGCGCAUGGUUCCAGGCCCACUUAGCGCAGUAGGCCUAACAAUUUGAUAAUUUAGGCCUCUGUGCUUCCAGGCCCACUUAGCUCAUGGUUCAGUGGCCUUCUACUGAGAAAUUUCAGGAUUUGGAUCAAAUACGACUGCCUUCCAAGAUUUGGGACUCAAUUCAUGUGCCUUUCAGAAUUUAACCCCCAACACACGAAUUGAUUCAGUUCAUGGGUUUUCCAUCUAUUUUCUCAAUUACGCCUCUUUUUCCUUUUCUUUUUCUUUCACAGCCUACCUGAAUUUCCAAUCCUAUCCCUGCCCCUUUGGCUCUCUCACGAUUGAAUCUGUUCCCAGCGAUACACAAUUGAAUCUCUCUCUCUCUCUCUCUCUCUCUCUCUCUCUUUCUUGCGUCGCUACUAGGGUUCCUGGGGAGGAACGCAACCAGCAGAUGCGGGCGAUCGGAACGGGCUGAAUGGACUCCAUGGAUCCCUCUGAUGUGCCUCCCGGGAUUGACCCGGAUGCUACGUUUAGAUUGUCGGUCCAGAUUUCACAGUUCUUAGCAAAGAUGGAUAAUGGUAGCUCUGUUGAUGUGCCUCGAAAAUGCUAUGAAUGGAUUGUAGACUACCGCUGCUACACCAUGUUAUCUUUAGAAAAAGACUUGGCUGAAAGAGUGACUUGGGGAAGCUCCCAACACCCUGUGAUAUCUGAAUUUGAUAUGUGUACCGGUGGGGAAAGAAAUUUGGGUGAUGAUGCAGCUUUAUCACCGGCAUUCUUUGAAAGAAUUGCAGAAAAAAAAGUUGAUGCUUUUUGUUGAUGUCGAGGACAAGUCUGGACAAAUACUUUGUAAGUCUACUGUUACAGAGGGAGCCAUGAGUAACGUAGUGUCUGACAAUGUUGGGACACAAGUAUAUUCAACGGAUCCUACAGAUGUUGGAAAUGUGAUAGACUGGGACAUCAUAGAGAUAGAGCCAAUUCCAGAAGAACAGACAUGCUCCUAUCAGAUUGAUGGACGAAGAUGCUAUGUAUGAAUUUGUUGGGCUGAGAGCAGAGGAUGAGAGAGCAAGGAUUGCAGCUGAAAAGGAAGCUGCAAAUGGGUCUGCUCUUUUGAAUAUGGAACUAGAAGGUCCAGAAUUACUUGUUGAUGAUAUAAUUCCUGGAGAGGAGUCAGUUGUUUAUGACAUGGAAGAUCCUCCAAUAAAAGUAGGAACCAUCUAUGCUUGUAUGAAUGAAUUAAGGGCAGCAGUAAGGCAACAUGGUAUAAAGGGAUAAUUUGAGCUGGGAACAGAGAAAUCUUGUAAAGACAAGUUUAGGGGCUAUUGCAAAGCGGCAGGAUGUCCAUGGGCUAUUGUGGCUAGGUUGAUGCAUGAUGAGAAGCAAGUCAGGGUUACUUUAAAUAAAGGAGAUCAUUUUUGUGCAUCUACUGCAAGAGUUAGGACUAAGAUGGCUUCAUACCAUUGGGUAGCAGAGAAGGCCAUUCCCUUUCUAAAGAAGGAUGCUAACAUGGGUGCAAAGAAACUGCAAAAAGAGUUGGAGGAAAAAUAUAAUGUCACGAUAGGAUAUGGAACAGUGUGGUCUGGUAGGCAAAUUGCAGCAGAAAAAUUUUUUGGCACCUGGGAGGAAAGUUUUGCUUUAUUGUUCAACUUCAAGGCAGAGGUAGAGCUGAAAAUGCCUGGGAGUGUGGUAGAGAUACAUGACAUAAAUAAAGAUGAUGGUGUGUACUUCCAUAGAUUCUUUUGUUGCUUCAAACCAAGCAUUGAUGGGUUCCUAAAUGGUUGCAGACCAUACUUGAGUAUAGAUUCCACAGCUCUUAAUGGCAGAUGGGAUGGCCACUUGCCUUCAGCAGUUGCAUUAGAUGGACACAAUUGGAUUUUUCCAAUUGCAUUUGGUUUUUUUUUUUGAGAAGGAGACAACAGAUAAUUGGACUUGGUUUUUGCAGCAACUACAAAAGUCAAUUGGCAACCUGCCUUACUUAGCUAUAAGUUCAGAUGCUUGCAAGGGCAUAGAGAAUGCAAUAAAUGAAGUGUACCCUUGGGCUGAGCAUAGAUAGUGCUUUUCUCAUUUGAUAAAAAAAUUUGGUAAAAGGUUUCAAGGUCCAACAUAUGGUAGGAUGUAUCCUGCUGCCAAGACAUAUCAACCAGAAUAUCAUGCGUAUUUAAUGAAUAAGAUGUAUACAGCAAGUAAAAAGGUCAAGCCAUAUUUGGACUAAUAUCAUAGUCUGAUCUGGAUGAGGAGCAAAUUUUCAGAAGAGAUCAAGUGUGAUCAUAUUGCCAACAAUGCUGCAGAUGUUUGGAAUAUAUGGGUCAAGGAUAUUAAAGACCUUCCAGUAGCUGAGCUUGCAGACACUCUAAGGUCCAAGGUCAUGGAACUCUUUGCAAGAAGGAGAAAAAUAGGUGAAAAGCUUCAAGGCCACACUAUGCUUCCAAUUGUUGUUCGACAACUUAAUGUACUGAGCAGGCAAUUAGGACACUCGAAGGUUCAAGAAGGUGGUAGGGAUGAAGCUGAGGUGACUGAAAUUACUACUACCCACAAGGUCAUAAGACAGGUGGUGAAUCUGAAGAAUCAAACAUGCUCCGGUAGGGAGUGGCAGGUUUCAGGAAAGUCGUGCCCACAUGCUUUGGCACUCAUAAUUACUACAAGAAAUCCUAAGAUGGAAGAUUUCCUCCACCCAUA
Molecule: long non-coding RNA, 2682 nt
Organism: Panicum virgatum (switchgrass)
Lineage: Eukaryota; Viridiplantae; Streptophyta; Magnoliopsida; Poales; Poaceae
Exons: 3
Source: RefSeq, a predicted model, not a curated record